Molecule: ribosomal RNA, 559 nt
Filed under: uncultured bacterium
Lineage: Bacteria
Description: bacterial SSU rRNA
Rfam family: Bacterial small subunit ribosomal RNA
Source: RNAcentral
UAAACUUCUUUUAUUAAGGACGAAAAAUGACGGUACUUAAUGAAUAAGCUCCGGCUAACUACGUGCCAGCAGCCGCGGUAAUACGUAGGGAGCAAGCGUUGUCCGGAUUUACUGGGUGUAAAGGGUGCGUAGGCGGCUUUGCAAGUCAGAUGUGAAAUCUAUGGGCUCAACCCAUAAACUGCAUUUGAAACUGUAGAGCUUGAGUGAAGUAGAGGCAGGCGGAAUUCCCCGUGUAGCGGUGAAAUGCGUAGAGAUGGGGAGGAACACCAGUGGCGAAGGCGGCCUGCUGGGCUUUAACUGACGCUGAGGCACGAAAGCGUGGGUAGCAAACAGGAUUAGAUACCCUGGUAGUCCACGCUGUAAACGAUGAUUACUAGGUGUGGGGGGUCUGACCCCUUCCGUGCCGGAGUUAACACAAUAAGUAAUCCACCUGGGGAGUACGGCCGCAAGGUUGAACCUCAAAGGAAUUGACGGGGGCCCGCACAAGCAGUGGAGUAUGUGGUUUAAUUCGAAGCAACGCGAAGAACCUUACCAGGUCUUGACAUCCAACUAACGAAGU